RNAcentral lists this small RNA (73 nucleotides) under Pseudomonas sp. ok272. RNAcentral's name for it is "Pseudomonas sRNA P9". It matches the Rfam family "Pseudomonas sRNA P9". From Rfam's summary of the family: P9 appears to be conserved in several Pseudomonas species in addition to Bordetella spp. The record is from RNAcentral. Lineage: Bacteria; Pseudomonadati; Pseudomonadota; Gammaproteobacteria; Pseudomonadales; Pseudomonadaceae. RNAcentral also lists the same sequence under 1 other name.
AGCAUUAUUACCGCCAUUCCUUAUUGGCGGGCUAGCUGACGGCUGCACCGAACCCGCCCUAGAGGCGGGUUUU